RNAcentral lists this ribosomal RNA (223 nucleotides) under uncultured bacterium. Its description in RNAcentral is "partial 16S ribosomal RNA". It matches the Rfam family "Bacterial small subunit ribosomal RNA", at positions 116 to 334 of the family's 1533-position model. The record is from RNAcentral.
CGUAGGUAACCUGCCUGGUAGCGGGGGAUAACUAUUGGAAACGAUAGCUAAUACCGCAUAACAGUAGAUGUUGCAUGACAUUUGCUUGAAAGGGGCAAUUGCUCCACUACCAGAUGGACCUGCGUUGUAUUAGCUAGUUGGUGAGGUAACGGCUCACCAAGGCGACGAUACAUAGCCGACCUGAGAGGGUGAUCGGCCACACUGGGACUGAGACACGGCCCAG